RNAcentral lists this ribosomal RNA (254 nucleotides) under uncultured bacterium. RNAcentral describes it as "partial 16S ribosomal RNA". It matches the Rfam family "Bacterial small subunit ribosomal RNA", at positions 524 to 776 of the family's 1533-position model. The record is from RNAcentral.
UACGGGGGGAGCAAGCGUUGUUCGGAUUUACUGGGCGUAAAGGGCGCGUAGGCGGCCAGCACAAGUCAGUUGUGAAAUCUCCGAGCUUAACUCGGAAAGGUCAACUGAUACUGUGCGGCUAGAGUGCAGAAGGGGCAACUGGAAUUCUCGGUGUAGCGGUGAAAUGCGUAGAUAUCAAGAGGAACACCUGCGGCGAAGGCGGGUUGCUGGGCCGACACUGACGCUGAGGCGCGAAAGCUAGGGGAGCGAACGGG